CACUUAGAGCGCUGGUUAUGUGUGUAAGUGUGAGUGUGUAAGUGUGUAAGUGUAGGGACCUGCUGGAGACAGCAGCAAAGAAAGGGGUCGGGUGCAUUGCUGAGAGCUGAUUCUCCAUGUGAUCCAGUAGUGGGUGAAACCUGCUGUGUCUCUCCUUGUUGCUGAUUGGCUAGCGGAGAGCUCGUAGACCUGGCCUAAUUUAAACAGCCAGAAUAUCUGCCAGGUCCCCUUUUGACCUUCUGUUCUUUAUGGAACCGCCCGACCCAUAGCCGCAGUUUCCGCGGAUCAGGACGGAAGUGAGCUCUGCACAGCGGAACCAGCUUCCCGGAAGUCUUUUGGCCAGCCGGAGAGACGCAUGCGUGCUGGUGGCCAGAAGAAAGCGUGGGCGUGUUCAAAGCUGCGGGCGGUGGUUGUGGCGUUAGAACUGCGGCGGGCAGCUAUGGGGAGGCCCUCCCAGUUCCCUGCUCCAGCUCAGCUGGUCUCCGCCUCCCGAUCUCAGCCCCGACCUCUCCUCUGCGGCAACGUCAGCACAGCGGCUUGCCAAGAUUGCGUCUGAGCGUACCCCAAGAUCCCUCAAGUAGAGGUCCGCCUUGUUCGGUGACACCGUGGAGACCACGGCGCCGGCAGACAAUGCAAAAAGUUGAGGCUUUGGAGGCAAGCGUGUCUUUGUGAACGUUUCAUCUUUUCCUACCAUCUGUGGUUGCUUCAAGUAUUAUUCCAAACGAGCUGGGCAUUCUUUAAAUAAUUGAAAAAUAUAUUUGAAAUAUGUGUAUUUCUGUGGAGAGCUACUAAUCUCGUACACGGUUGCCAUGGAACCCAGUGAGCUCUCAAUAGGCUAAUUGUAACAGACUACAAACAAAUUACGAGCAUCGUAAAACCCGUUGACUCUUGGAGUUUCCAGGUGUCUUUGAAGAGUGUAGAAGCCAUUUGAGCAGCACUUAGGUUUAAAAUUGGGAUUUGGACCUUUAAUGGGAAGACGCCAAACUGGUGUUAACACGCUUGAGGCAUCAUGCCUGUCUUAGUGUAAUUUUUUUGUUGUUUUAAAAUACUUCUGUGCAUUUGUGAAUUUGGACAAACUCAAAGUAAAGGAAAAUCAUCCCCCAAGUGGAUAAUUCCACGUUGAACCAGCCCGAACAUGUUGGCUUAUUUUUAGCCCUUUCCUAUGUGAAAUAUUAAAUUUCACACUUGUGUA
Long non-coding RNA from Mus musculus (house mouse), 1192 nucleotides. RefSeq annotates it as predicted gene, 36839. NCBI's taxonomy places the organism in Eukaryota, Metazoa, Chordata, Mammalia, Rodentia, Muridae. The transcript has 2 exons. The record is from RefSeq and is a predicted model, not a curated record.